RNAcentral lists this long non-coding RNA (8090 nucleotides) under Equus caballus (horse). RNAcentral describes it as "lncRNA (ENSECAG00000046315.1)". Lineage: Eukaryota; Metazoa; Chordata; Mammalia; Perissodactyla; Equidae. The record is from RNAcentral.
CACAGCCCAGCUGAGUGUCCAAGCAGGAGUCCCGGUCUAAGGAGGGGCUCAGGAAGCUGAGGAUGUGUUCUCAGCGUGGUGGGAGCCCCUCGCUUUCAUUGUUCUUCCACUGAGAGCACCCAGCACAGGAGGACCGGGACUCCAGACUGGUGGGGAAAGGACAGGAGCAUUUACACACAGCCCACCCCCACAAACUGCAAGCUCCAGAGGGCUGCUCCGCUUGGCUCCUCCCAAGGGGGCAUCUCCCUGCAUCCUGAGCAUCCUUGGUCCCAGGCCCCAUUCCGCUGCACAUUCCCCUGUGCCAGCUACACCCACGGGCUUUGUCAGGUUGUCUCCCUUUUAGUGAAGUACACGUCUGGUGCAUCACAAAUGCUGAGGCUGCUGAGCAUCCCGAGCAGAUGGCUGGCCGCCUGAGUUCCUGGCUGCACACAGUGAGUUCUCCUCCCGACCUCUCGGGCCAGCCCACCAGGCUUCCUCUGUGUUCUACUCACUCCAUGUGCUCAGCCCCUCUGUCCAGCAGGGCCUCUUGGUCCCCAUCUCUACAGUGUGAGGGUGGAACACGAAGGCUGGGGAGUUGCCCAGAUCCCAUGGUUGGAAGUGGUGGAGCUGGGAUUGGACCCAGGUCAAGAGCGCCACACGGGAAAGCAGGUCUGGGCCAGCUGAUGGCAUAGGGGUGGCUGCCCACCCCGCCUGAGAGCCCGGGUGCUCACCGCGUCAAUGGCCGUCAGCUGUUCUGCCACGUCCCUUGGGGAGAAGGCCAUGAGGCUAGGCUUCCCAUCGGGCUGCUUCUUCCCGGUCACUCGACAGGGGUGGGAAGCCUCUGGAACCGGAGCUGAUUCUGCGUGUUACUGGAGCCUGAGGUGGAAAUCCCAGCAGCCCCUUGGUCCCGUUGAGUCCAGUUCAGGACCUGGCACUUGGGCUGGGGUGCUGAUGCACUCGCUCGGGGUCUGGAGCAGCUGAGGGCGCUGCUGCCGGUUCCAGCGCUAGAAGUGAUGGCAGAAAUAGAACUGGAGUUCCGUCCAGCUCCAGAUGUGGCCCCUUUUCUGCUCUGCACCUGGCAGAAGUGCUGGAGCUGGGCAGGAGCUGGAGAAAGAGAAAGGGUCAGCUACAUAAGUUGCUUUCCAUGUGCCUUUCCCCAAACAGGAAAGAUCCCACUGUCUUUAAAUGAAUCCCCAGUCGUGACCCACCCACUGGGGUAGUCUUCCAAGCCUACGGUCUCCCUUACCCUCUGUCUCCAACUCAGUGGCCUGGAAAAGGUCCACCUGGAUGAGAAGAGGGGUGGCCUGGUGCUUCAGGACUGAGCCAGGCAAGAGGUCCUGGAGAUACGCCAACGUCAGGUUGAUCCUGGAGUGGCAGCAUCUGCCACAUAUCCUGGGAGUUCUCCUGAGGCCGGGGGCCCCAGAUGGGAGAGAGGGCACUGGGGAGAGGCUGUGUGAAGAGAGUCACAGGCCUGGCCUGCUGUUCCACACUGUGUUCCCACAGCACCUUCUCUGUGCCUGAGCCCCAGAGGGUGGACCAGCCACUCCAAUCCCUGGGUGGCUGUCCUUGCACUGGAAGGCCUGGUCAUCAGCCAAUCUAACAGAGAGCCUGUGUGAGUCUGGUCUUCCACCUGACACUCUUUUCCCAAAGGGCCUGGACAUAGCCUGCCCCAUCCUCCACGCUCGAGCAUCAGGACUGAGGUUGGAGGCAGAUUUGUGACCAGGCUGCUCACCACCUACUGUUCUGGGCCCCAGUGGCGGUGCUUAGGAGAGGUGCAUGUGCAGAGGGCAGGGAGAGGGAGAGGGAACUGUGGAAGCGAGGAGUCUCUCAGUGGCCGACUCAGCCCAGCCUCUCCUCUGCUUCCCAUGGCGGGACUGGCACCCAUGAACAGGUCUCUUUGAUUCAUUUCCUCCUGUAGGGAAGACCGCAGACCUCAGGCCUCCCACAGAAACCCCAAGAGGUGUGAGAUCCAGGGUCUGCCAGUCCAUCCAUAGCCACAGUCCCCAUGGUCUCCUAGCCCCUUCUGUGGACACAGGAGGCCCUCCCUCUGGACCCAACACCACUCAUGGUCUUAGUUGGUCCUUGAAGUCUGUCAUCGUGGUCUGACUAUGAGAGGAUGCGUCCAUAUCUAGAGGAGGCCAAGAGGGUGUGACAUCUAACGUCCUCUGGGCAUGAAUACUCACGAUGCCCAGAAGUGAGCUUCUAGCUCUCAGGCUAGAAUUGAGCCCCAGGGAUAGUGUCUGCUUCCUUCAUUGGACAUCCUUAGUGUGUAGGAAAGGGUAUGAAUGUAGUAGGAGCUUAACAUAUAGUAUUGAAUGAAUGAACCCCAUCCAGAGCCUUCCCAGAAUUCUGAGUGGGCCUGCGCUCCUCUGCUGCCCACAGAGACCACUGCUCUGGCCGCACCGAAGACAAGGACCAGGAUCAGCUAGAUGGACUCGCUAAAUUGUCUUGCCAAUAGGAAAACAGUUUGCUUUCAUGUACUUUUCCACACUCAGGAAGGCCACAGGCCAGCGAGGGGAGAGGCAGGGAGUCUCCUCACUGGGGACGGAAGCUGUAAGCGUGAGGACACGCAGCAUGAGCAGCAGCCCCUUCUGUGGAGUCCGGCACCAGGCAAGCGUCUGCCGUGCUUUCUCCCGUGAUUUCCUUCAGUGACCCUGUGAGGUUUACCUCUUACCACCCCACUAUUCGGAUGAGCAAGGUGACGCUCAGAGAGGUGUGGGGACGUUCCCAAGGCACACGUUUAUUAGGUGGAGACUCCCUGCUGUGCUGUGGAGGGGUGGGCACUCACCUCUGGAGCAGCUGGUCCAGGACCUGUGGGGUCGGGUAGAAGGCCUGGUACACACACGGGAAGGUGGUGACGGAGAUGGAUCUGCCGUGGAAAGAUGGUUGCAGGCAGCCUACCACCUUCUGCACUGCGCCUGCCUUGAGGGUCAGCAUCGUGCGGGCCUCAGCCACGGACAGGGUGGGUUCCUUGGCAUACCACGUGGACAAGGUGGGACACAGUGUUAGUGGCCAUCACCAGGAACCACCAGGAGCAUCAGGGUCUGGAGCUCAGACCAGAACCUCCCAGCACCUCAGGAAGUUGUAUAAGAGGGACGAGAGCCCACCUGGGAAAUGGUUUUGGACUUCCAAGUACAAUUUGAUUUUUAGGGGAAUGACAAACACUUAGUACCUUCAAGGCAUUCUGUGACCUGAGGAACAAUCGCACCUCUGUGCAUUAAGAGCCUGUGUUAAGAGCAUUAUCCCAGGGAGUCAUCAAUAAACAUCCCCACCACAGACAUGAGCAAAGAGACGAUUAGUGACCUUCCGCCAAUCUGCGGUUCUAUGUCAUGGCAGACCUAGAAAACUCUGAGUCUAUUGGGACACAUUUAAGAUGUGCCCUGCAGCGUGUUGCUCAAAUGACAACAGAUAUUGGGUCAUGUCCAGGUCCAACAGCAUUGAAAGACUGAAUCACUGAGGAAAAUGUCCUCCUAUGUGGAAUUAUGAUGAAGUCAAAAAGGCCUCAGCUCCUGACCUGAGUGGCCUAUGAUGAGUUGAUGUGUUUCGUGAAUGCGAAGUUGCAGAGGAAUGUAUAGGAUCCUGUAAUCCACCCCCAUCCUCUUUGUGUGUAAUCAGCCUAGCACGUGUGAUGAUUUGUGAGGCUUGGAAAAUGUCUGCAAGGACAGUGGCCUGAGUGCUACACAGCUUCCCAGCCGGGCAGCUACAUCAAUCCAAACGGGAGCAAAAUGCUAAGGUCCUCAUGGCCUCGUGAAAAGUGAUAACAACGUUAAACAUUUCCUCUAUGAUUCCAAGAAACAUGUGAAGAGUGUCUUUCCACCUUACCCCACAGCUGGCUGGGGAGGAGAGGAGGCCCAGACUCCUUCAGGAGCAAGGCCGUAGGACACUCCAUUGGGAAAGCCCUGUGAGGGCCCCAGGGGUGUGCUCAGAUUCAGACCUGCGUUCCAGGCCCACCCUGAACAUCUUGGGGUGGAGAGGAGGCCCAGACUCCUUCAGGAGCAAGGCCGUAGGACACUCCAUUGGGAAAGCCCUGUGAGGGCCCCAGGGGUGUGCUCAGAUUCAGACCUGCGUUCCAGGGCCACCCUGAACAUCUUGGGGUGGUGGGCAGGGAGACCCUCUGCUCCUGCUCUCACCUCAGACCGGCACAGGAUGCUGCUGGUGGCCUGCUGCUCCUGCCUCUUGACUAGGGAGGGAGAGAAGUCGAACCCGUCACAUAACUCUUCAAAGAUCUCCUGCGUGGAGUUCUGGAAAGACAGUGCCCGGCAGACGGGCCAGGAGGCAUCAGGGCCUGCUGGACAUCGCCACAGGGGGAUACCCCCUCGAGAAAUUCUAUUCCUUAGUUCAGGCACACAGGGACAUCUGCACAGACAUCUGACCAGGGAGGGAACUAGAUGAAACUUCUAAGGCUCGGGAUUAACGCAAGGGCAGAGGAGCUUGAUCCCCAGCACCCACCUGCUCAGGCUGCCAGACAGGCCCUGGGGUAUGAAUAUCACAGACUUACCAGGCUGACAGCACAUAACACUCUCCUCCUGCCCAGGAGGGACCCACUCCUCACCUGCUGCCUUCCCUGACAGUGCCCAUGCGCGCACACACACACACACACACACAGACACUCACACACAAACACUCACACAGGGGGCAAGGGCUAUGGGGCUGCUCAGGUGGGAUCAGAGUUGUGUCCUGCCCUACAUUGGGCUGCUCUGGGCUGCCCCACAUUACCUUUGGGUACCUCCUGCCAAAUGGCCUGUGGCUCCGAGGAUGAGGGUUAAGCCAACUCCUACAACAACACAACAGUCUCACACUCUGGGCUUUCCUGAGCCUAGAGCCUCUGAAAACUGGGCCACAACAAGCAAACAUGUUGUUGUCUGAAGUGUGUCCAGUCAAAUGAGCUGGCUAGGGGCCUGUGUCUAGAAUGUAACUGCCUGGUUACAAGAGUUCUAAGUCUGUUGGGGUCUAUCGCCAAGGAAGUGAGGUCACGUUUUCAAGAUUCCAUUACCUGGGCUGCUUCCUGUAAUCAGACCUAACCAAACCACCCUCAUGUCAUCUUCUUAACUAUACAUGAGGAGCUUCCACAGCCCCAGCCACAGCUGCCUGGCAAUGUCAUGAGGGUCCCAGCUUUGAGGAGGCAGAGCAGAAUUCAGACCUCCUUUAUCUUACCACUUCUCUGUCCAGGAAACCUCAUUGUGCCUCUCAGGGCCUCCCCAGUCUCCAAACCCGCACAAGGGGAAUCCGCCUAGAAUAUACUUGCCAGGGACAUCAUCAGGUGUAUAUGAGAUAAUAUCCAUACCACCUGUGAGGUCGUGUCAAGUGCAAGUAAUGCACAAACAAAGAGAUGGAAGAAUUACGAGAAGGGAUGUAGCAUGAACACCACUCAAAACAGGCCUGGGGUCAGCAAUGCGAUAUUGCAACAGGCAACUCCUCUCUCGGCCUCAUUUCAAUGUCAGCACAAGGAGAGGGUUGCUGAAUGAAAUCCAGACACUGUCAUCCUCUGGAUUCAAACCUCUCCAUUGUUUCCUCUUCUAUUUAGAAAGAGACCCAAGUGCCACAUGUUGAACUAUGAGGUGGGCAGCCUUCACAAUGGCUCCCAGAGAUCCCCACCCGUGGUACACACAUCCCUCACAGAUUCCUGUGUGACCACUGAGUGCUUAGUGACUGGCUGUCACCAAUAGAACACAGCCGGUCUGGACGGAUGUCAUGCCUAAAUUUUAAACACAAAAAGUCUCUCACUUCCUUCUUAUUUCCUCUCUUAAGUUCCACCUCUCUCUUCUCUCUCUCUUUCCCUUCUCUCUCUCUCUUCCCUAUCCCUGAGCUGGGGAAUCAAGCAGAGAUGUUUUGAGCUGCCAUAUACAGAGGCCCACGUGGGAGGGAACCGAGGCAGCACCCAGGCCAACAGACAGAAAGUAACCCAUCCUCUGAGUCCAAACUGUACCCUGAAUCCUUUGAGGAAACCUGGGAGGAAAUUCUCUGCCAGUCGAGCAUCAGCUGAGGUUGCGGCCCCGGCCUUGAGGCAUCUUGAGCAGAGGAACCAAGCUCAUGUAUGUCUGAUUCAACCGCAAAAAUUGUGAGAUAGGAGGCAUUUGUCCUUUUCAGAUUCAAGGCACUGGAACUGUGAUUUCAGGCCCCAGGAUCUGGCAUUGCCCCCUCCUUCUCUGCCCCCCAGGCUUCCUCCAGCCACACUGGCCACCUUUCUCACAUCCUCUGGCCAAACCCCCUUCUGCCCAUGAGUGUCUGCAGCAGAGGUGCCUUCUCCCUGGCACGCUGCUCCCAGACUUGUGCAGGGCUGGCUCCCUCUUGUCAUUCUGGUCCCAGCAAAUGUCACCCCAGUGAGGCCUUUCAGACCCCUACCCGGUGACCCCCAGCCCUCCCUCACAGGCGCCUGAAUGUCCCCAAAACACUGGCUCUUUCCUCUCUCAUGCGUUUGCUUUCAUGCUUUUGUCCUUGUCCCCUCCAGAGUGUGAGCUCCUGACUGGCAGGGACCACUCAGUCGUCGUCAGCCCUGUACUCAGACCCACCUGAGCACCUGGCACAGGGUGCGUGCUCGGUGCACAGUCGCUGAGUGAAGAAUUGUGAAACUCGUGUCCCCUCCUCCUGCUCUUCACCAAGUCAGACUGUGGAGAGGAGCGCUAGUACCAGGAGGAGUGAGUUCUCUCUGAGGCGGGGGACAGCCGGAAAGGCCUCUGCACGGCUAUUCGCUACUCCAGCAGCUGAAGCAGAGCUGAGUGGGCGCCGUGUAAGUUUAAGAAGUCAGCACAGGGACUCGAUGCACACAGACUGCACAAUAACACCACCAGUUCACUUAACAUCCAUCACUGAGAACAGAAAAAUAAGCGUUUCCUUGUGAUGAGAAGUUUAGCUUCUUUGUUCUUAGCAACUUUGAAUGUACCACACAGCAGUGUUAACUUAGGCAGUGUUGUGUGUCAAUUACAUCCCAAUAGAAGUGACAACAAUUAAAACCCAACCCCAGCGGGCACCACUGACGCUGCAGGCUGCCUGCCUCCUGGUGGCCAGCGCCAGCACUGCAGCCCUGGCAGAAGCCAACAAACAGGAAGGUUUCUUUGGGUGUCCUCAAGGCAAAGGCUCCCCACUGUCCCAGGGGUAAAGGAGCAGGACCUGCAGGCUUCCAGACCAUGCAAGGAACCUCAGCAGCCUCUCUCUCCCCAUCUUUCUGUCCCUCCACUCGGGUGUCCUCUUCUCUCAGGAGGCAUCCUAACCUCAGCCAAGGCAAUGAUUUCCCUCUCCUGCCAAGUGAGGACCUCAGGACUCCAACAAGGACUGGUCUUGUCCCUGGACUCUGGACUCAGUGUACACUGCUCUGGCAUGUUCUUCCUUAUCCCAAGUUCUCAUCCACCCAAGCCCCCAAGCCUGUCUCAGUUCUAAAGGAUCUCCAGCAGGUGGGAAAGCAUUUUCUCAGGUGCUCAGAGCACAGGGCGUCAUCGAUGGAGAACCAAGGGCCACAGACACUUCGUGAGCAUCAUACGGAACCCAGGGAGUCACCCACUGGAUGCACUCCACUUUACACAGGAGGACACCAAUGUCUUCUCUCCUCUACCCAAUGUCUACACAAGAGGAGAACGGCUCAUCAGAGUAGCAGGUGCCCGCAGAAGUAGACUCCAGCUCCCCAGUCCUGUGCCCUCCAGGCUAGGCCAGGGAUGCCCUUGGAACAGGUACACACCUAGAAACCUGAGGGAUUCUUCAGUCCAUCUCGGGCCUUCUGGGCAUGUAGCCAGGAGGAUGGAUGCUACUGUUCAUGGCAGAGCUGCCUCCGACUGCCUUCUCCUCGGCCUCUUGUCACUUCCCUGGUGUCUGCUCUUUCCUGGGGUCCCUGCAUGGUCCACACAGGAGAAAUCGGUGUGAGUGUGCCUGUGCAUGAUUGGAUGCGAACAGGAAGACGACCCCACAUGGACAGGGGUGGGCAGGGCUCCCCUAGGACCAUGAGGUCCCUGUUUCCAAAGAAAACCCGAAGGAAAGAGGUGGAGCCUUGGCCAAGGAAGCCAGAGCCCUGAUUGAUCCUCUGGAUUCUGAACCCCUCCUGAGGUCUGGGUCAGUCCCUCCAACUUUCUGGGCCUCAGAUUCCCAAAUGGACAAAGAACACGUUUUGUAAGAGCAAAGUCAAA